GGUGAGUAACACGUGGAUAACCUACCUAUAAGACUGGGAUAACUUCGGGAAACCGGAGCUAAUACCGGAUGAUAUUUUGAACCGCAUGGUUCAAAAGUGAAAGACGGUCUUGCUGUCACUUAUAGAUGGAUCCGCGCUGCAUUAGCUAGUUGGUAAGGUAACGGCUUACCAAGGCAACGAUGCAUAGCCGACCUGAGAGGGUGAUCGGCCACACUGGAACUGAGACACGGUCCAG
RNAcentral lists this ribosomal RNA (235 nucleotides) under uncultured Staphylococcus sp. RNAcentral describes it as "partial 16S ribosomal RNA". It matches the Rfam family "Bacterial small subunit ribosomal RNA", at positions 105 to 334 of the family's 1533-position model. Lineage: Bacteria; Bacillati; Bacillota; Bacilli; Caryophanales; Staphylococcaceae. The record is from RNAcentral.